This 302-nucleotide ribosomal RNA is filed under the name uncultured bacterium. RNAcentral's name for it is "partial 16S ribosomal RNA". It matches the Rfam family "Bacterial small subunit ribosomal RNA", at positions 508 to 807 of the family's 1533-position model. The record is from RNAcentral.
GCAGUAGCCGCGGUAAUACAGAGGGUGCGAGCGUUAAUCGGAUUUACUGGGCGUAAAGCGUGCGUAGGCGGCUUCUUAAGUCGGAUGUGAAAUCCCUGAGCUUAACUUAGGAAUUGCAUUCGAUACUGGGAAGCUAGAGUAUGGGAGAGGAUGGUAGAAUUCCAGGUGUAGCGGUGAAAUGCGUAGAGAUCUGGAGGAAUACCGAUGGCGAAGGCAGCCAUCUGGCCUAAUACUGACGCUGAGGUACGAAAGCAUGGGGAGCAAACAGGAUUAGAUACCCCCGUAGUCCCUGUCUCUUAUAC